This 1446-nucleotide ribosomal RNA is filed under the name uncultured organism. RNAcentral describes it as "SSU rRNA". It matches the Rfam family "Bacterial small subunit ribosomal RNA". The record is from RNAcentral.
GCUUAACACAUGCAAGUCGAGGGGCAGCAUUUCAGUUUGCUUGCAAACUGGAGAUGGCGACCGGCGCACGGGUGAGCAACACGUAUCCAACCUGCCGAUAACUCGGGGAUAGCCUUUCGAAAGAAAGAUUAAUACCCGAUGGUAUAAUCAGACCGCAUGGUCUUGUUAUUAAAGAAUUUCGGUUAUCGAUGGGGAUGCGUUCCAUUAGGCAGUUGGUGAGGUAACGGCUCACCAAACCUUCGAUGGAUAGGGGUUCUGAGAGGAAGGUCCCCCACAUUGGAACUGAGACACGGUCCAAACUCCUACGGGAGGCAGCAGUGAGGAAUAUUGGUCAAUGGGCGCAGGCCUGAACCAGCCAAGUAGCGUGAAGGAUGACUGCCCUAUGGGUUGUAAACUUCUUUUAUAUGGGAAUAAAGUUUUCCACGUGUGGAAUUUUGUAUGUACCAUAUGAAUAAGGAUCGGCUAACUCCGUGCCAGCAGCCGCGGUAAUACGGAGGAUCCGAGCGUUAUCCGGAUUUAUUGGGUUUAAAGGGAGCGUAGGUGGACAGUUAAGUCAGUUGUGAAAGUUUGCGGCUCAACCGUAAAAUUGCAGUUGAUACCGGCUGUCUUGAGUACAGUAGAGGUGGGCGGAAUUCGUGGUGUAGCGGUGAAAUGCUUAGAUAUCACGAAGAACUCCGAUUGCGAAGGCAGCUCACUGGACUGCAACUGACACUGAUGCUCGAAAGUGUGGGUAUCAAACAGGAUUAGAUACCCUGGUAGUCCACACAGUAAACGAUGAAUACUCGCUGUUUGCGAUAUACAGUAAGCGGCCAAGCGAAAGCAUUAAGUAUUCCACCUGGGGAGUACGCCGGCAACGGUGAAACUCAAAGGAAUUGACGGGGGCCCGCACAAGCGGAGGAACAUGUGGUUUAAUUCGAUGAUACGCGAGGAACAUUACCCGGGCUUAAAUUGCAUUUGAAUAUAUUGGAAACAGUAUAGCCGUAAGGCAAAUGUGAAGGUGCUGCAUGGUUGUCGUCAGCUCGUGCCGUGAGGUGUCGGCUUAAGUGCCAUAACGAGCGCAACCCUUAUCUUUAGUUACUAACAGGUCAUGCUGAGGACUCUAGAGAGACUGCCGUCGUAAGAUGUGAGGAAGGUGGGGAUGACGUCAAAUCAGCACGGCCCUUACGUCCGGGGCUACACACGUGUUACAAUGGGGGGUACAGAAGGCAGCUACCUGGUGACAGGAUGCUAAUCCCAAAAGCCUCUCUCAGUUCGGAUCGAAGUCUGCAACCCGACUUCGUGAAGCUGGAUUCGCUAGUAAUCGCGCAUCAGCCAUGGCGCGGUGAAUACGUUCCCGGGCCUUGUACACACCGCCCGUCAAGCCAUGAAAGCCGGGGGUACCUGAAGUACGUAACCGCAAGGAGCGUCCUAGGGUAAAACUGGUAAUUGGGGCUAAGUCAUAACAAG